GCAGCGCGGGGCAACCUGGCGGCGAGUGGCGAACGGGUGAGUAAUAUAUCGGAACGUACCCAUGAGUGGGGGAUAACGUAGCGAAAGUUACGCUAAUACCGCAUACGAUCUAAGGAUGAAAGUGGGGGAUUCGCAAGAACCUCAUGCUCCUGGAGCGGCCGAUAUCUGAUUAGCUAGUUGGUAGGGUAAAGGCCUACCAAGGCUACGAUCAGUAGCUGGUCUGAGAGGACGACCAGCCACACUGGAACUGAGACACGGUCCAGACUCCUACGGGAGGCAGCAGUGGGGAAUUUUGGACUAUGGGCGCAAGCCUGAUCCAGCAAUGCCGCGUGAGUGAAGAAGGCCUUCGGGUUGUAAAGCUCUUUUGUCAGGGAAGAAACGGUCUCAGCUAAUAUCUGGGGCUAAUGACGGUACCUGAAGAAUAAGCACCGGCUAACUACGUGCCAGCAGCCGCGGUAAUACGUAGGGUGCAAGCGUUAAUCGGAAUUACUGGGCGUAAAGCGCGCGCAGGCGGUUUUGUAAGUCUGUCGUGAAAGCCCCGGGCUCAACCUGGGAAUUGCGAUGGAGACUGCAAGGCUUGAAUCUGGCAGAGGGGGGUAGAAUUCCACGUGUAGCAGUGAAAUGCGUAGAGAUGUGGAGGAACACCGAUGGCGAAGGCAGCCCCCUGGGUCAAGAUUGACGCUCAUGCACGAAAGCGUGGGGGGCAAACAGGAUUAGAUACCCUGGUAGUCCACGCCCUAAACGAUGUCUACU
Molecule: ribosomal RNA, 753 nt
Filed under: uncultured Massilia sp.
Lineage: Bacteria; Pseudomonadati; Pseudomonadota; Betaproteobacteria; Burkholderiales; Oxalobacteraceae
Description: bacterial SSU rRNA
Rfam family: Bacterial small subunit ribosomal RNA
Source: RNAcentral